Long non-coding RNA from Lagopus leucura (white-tailed ptarmigan), 978 nucleotides. RefSeq lists it as uncharacterized. The transcript is spliced from 3 exons. The record is from RefSeq and is a predicted model, not a curated record. Lineage: Eukaryota; Metazoa; Chordata; Aves; Galliformes; Phasianidae.
CGCCGCCAGCGGGGCUUUAUAAGCGGGGAAAUGGCCCAAACGCCGCAGUCGGAGCAUCUCUGGGCGCGGUGGUGCGGGCUCUGUUCGGGCACGGAGCGGUAGCGAUGCCGGACCGAUUCCCCCCCUCCAAUCGCAUCUCCCCCCUCGAGCAUCUCGGGAUCGUCCCCUCCGGGAGAUGUGAGCGCGGAUGAUGGUGGUGGGGUGAUGCGGCGGCUGGGAGGCGGCCCGCUGAGGUUUUGGUACCUGCCAUUGCUGAUGGGCAGAUGGAUGUGAUGGCUGUUGGAGUGUCCUUUGUACCUGGAAGAGAGAAGGCACAAUCAGCCUGACCGUGUGUGGGUUUGGGACUUUCUCCCCUUUGGCCAAGCAAGGAGGAUUUAUCUUGAGACUUCUGGCUGCUGGGAUAUCGCACCUGGAGCCCUCAUGGACUGCCGUGGGUUUUGGAUGCACCCUUCUGCCUGGAGCUGGAAAUGCGUGCUGCUGCCAGGUGGCCACAGACACCUGCUCCUCUAAACCUGCUGGAUUAUUUCUUUUGGCAUCACUCAGCCAGCGUGGCAGCUUUUCCUCAGCUCGUGCAACUGCCUUUGGUGUUUGAGAUCACCUGACUUGCAGAUGUAGAAAGCUGCAGUUGCAGCCCAGCCUGCAGACACCUCUCCUUUUUGGGCUACUAUUUCUCAGCGUUGCAGCACUUUGGGACAAGACCCCGUCCAUACACAUGUGUGGGAAUGUCCUGCUGGUCUGAGGGCCAGCAGUGGAGGCUCGAGGUGCACCUGAGAGGAGAGCCGAUGCACUGCAGCAGGAGCAGCCACCAGGACCUCACCAUGGAUGGGAGGGAGGCAGCACAGUGCCCAGCACCUGCAGGGAUUGGGAUGCACCUAGGGUCAUGCCGUGCUCCUUCCCCCAGCACUGAUGUGGGAACAGCCCCAGUGCAGCCACCCACCACCGCCACUGUGAUCCGGGGUCCUGAGCUGACCUCACUCU